Molecule: ribosomal RNA, 489 nt
Filed under: Enterobacter cloacae subsp. dissolvens
Lineage: Bacteria; Pseudomonadati; Pseudomonadota; Gammaproteobacteria; Enterobacterales; Enterobacteriaceae
Description: bacterial SSU rRNA
Rfam family: Bacterial small subunit ribosomal RNA
Source: RNAcentral
ACCUGCUUUAAUUAACCUGUGCAGUGUUGUUCUACUCUUACCCGUCAGUCGGGCAGCCUCACUAAUAGACACUCUGGCCAUCAGUUACCAUCCUGUAAUGCAUCCAGUCUCGAGGACAGUGUACGGAAAAGAUGCUCCGCAUCAUCGUGGAGUUUCUCACAAAGGUCGGCUUCGACAUCGAGAUCAAGCUCGUUAAGCUUCUCCAACAGGAGCAGAGACUGGUUCUGGAUGAAUUUAGCCAUAUUUUGGUGCCUUCGGGAACUGUGAGACAGGUGCUGCAUGGCUGUCGUCAGCUCGUGUUGUGAAAUGUUGGGUUAAGUCCCGCAACGAGCGCAACCCUUAUCCUUUGUUGCCAGCGGUCCGGCCGGGAACUCAAAGGAGACUGCCAGUGAUAAACUGGAGGAAGGUGGGGAUGACGUCAAGUCAUCAUGGCCCUUACGACCAGGGCUACACACGUGCUACAAUGGCGCAUACAAAGAGAAGCGACCU